UUGAAACCUUAAUCUCUACCACCCAUAACUCAAUCGAAGAAUUCCCCCAAUUUCAUUUUCUAAUUUCAAUUUAAGCUCUCACCAACAAUUUCAUUCGGUUUACUCUCUAGCUCGACCCAUUCCGUUUUCACACUCGACCAACAAUCUCAUUCGGUUCACUAUCAUUAAGCUCCCGUUUUCAACAAAUUUCUGCUGGGUUCACUCUCUAGCUCGACCCAUUCAGUUUUUCAACAGAUUUCCGCUGGGUUCUUGAUCUCAUUUCACAGAUUUUCAGAUUUCCACUGGGCUCUUGUUCUCGUUUCACAAAUUUUCAAGAUAUGAGUGAAAGAGAAAAGUUUGAGCUUGAUAGAAAGGAGGAUCCUUGGAGGUUUGUCUGUAUCCGAUUUGUGUCCUCUAAUCAAGCUGGUAUAUAUGGACUCCACAAUGUCUGUUGAGAAGUUUAUGAAAGGGAUGUGGCUAAACUAAGUGAAGAGCAGUCUGAGGUUAGAGAGAUGAUACAAAUUUGAUACUCAUGAGCAGAACCAUGAUGUUGUUGCUGGUACCUAAAGGAAGCAAAAUAACAGUUCUAGUUUUGUGUUAUGAGUGGAAGGCGGUUUAGAACAAUGAUGUCAAUGACCCAAAAUCUAGCUCUGCAACAUUGGCUUGAAGUUGUUAUCCAUAGUUACUUAUAUUUGUGUUCCUGCUGCAAGAAGUGUUUAGUUUAGAUCGGUGGUAGUCUGAACAUCCUUUUUGGGCAGCAAAGGAGAACGCGUAGUAAAAUGCAAUUAAUCGGGAAAGGCUAGCGGUCCCUCAUACAUGUGUUGCUUUGCACCAGUAAUUGAGUUGGCUGCACGUGUUGCUGAUGUUACUCCUCUUCCUCCUUGUCUAUUUUUAAUGCCCUUACUUGUUCUCCCAACAUUCCAUCUCCGGCACUCCAAAUUUCAGCAUCAUCGCUGACAACAGCUGGUGAAAAUUUGUCAUUUCCUAUUUAGCUUCUCUGCUAUAUGCUUAUAUUUAGAAGGGAAUAAAAAAGUCGUACCUCUAAAAGCACACAACCUAGCAUCAACUAAGGAACAAUUGCAAGCUGAAAUGCAAACAAACUCAAUUUGAGAAUGAAGCAUUUGUCAAAGGGUUUGGAAAGGGACAUGUUGGAUAUGUCAAUUUGCGAAUGAAGUAUUUGUCAAAUUGUUUGGAAAGACAUUCAUCUCAGUCUAGCUAUUGUCUUGAGGAUCAUGGAGCACCUUGACUAAGGGAUACCUAGAUAUUUUUAUAUAGUUUUAACUCUGAUACAAUAGUUUUGAAUGUCUAGGCGACUUAAAUUUCCACUAGUGUUUUGGUUUUUGAAUGUUUAAACCAUGUACUUUAUCUAUUGUUUUGAUUGUUACUAUUAAAAGAAUUAUAUUUAUGGGAUUUAGAAAUUUUUAGU
RNAcentral lists this long non-coding RNA (1405 nucleotides) under Medicago truncatula (barrel medic). RNAcentral describes it as "lncRNA gene1273". Lineage: Eukaryota; Viridiplantae; Streptophyta; Magnoliopsida; Fabales; Fabaceae. The record is from RNAcentral.